CGUGUAGGCGGCUAGACAAGUCAGAUGUGAAAUCCCUGGGCUUAACCCAGGAAGUGCAUUUGAAACUGUCCUGCUAGAGUAAGGGAGAGGGAAGUGGAAUUCCUGGUGUAGAGGUGAAAUUCGUAGAUAUCAGGAGGAACACCGGUGGCGAAGGCGACUUUCUGGCCCUAUACUGACGCUGAGACGCGAAAGCGUGGGUAGCAAACA
Molecule: ribosomal RNA, 207 nt
Filed under: uncultured Syntrophaceae bacterium
Lineage: Bacteria; Pseudomonadati; Thermodesulfobacteriota; Syntrophia; Syntrophales; Syntrophaceae
Description: partial 16S ribosomal RNA
Rfam family: Bacterial small subunit ribosomal RNA
Source: RNAcentral